Molecule: ribosomal RNA, 417 nt
Filed under: uncultured bacterium
Lineage: Bacteria
Description: partial 16S ribosomal RNA
Rfam family: Bacterial small subunit ribosomal RNA
Source: RNAcentral
UGGGGAAUUUUGGACAAUGGGCGAAAGCCUGAUCCAGCAAUGCCGCGUGUGUGAAGAAGGCCUUCGGGUUGUAAAGCACUUUUGUCCGGAAAGAAAUCCUUGGCUCUAAUACAGUCGGGGGAUACGGUACCGGAAGAAUAAGCACCGGCUAACUACGUGCCAGCAGCCGCGGUAAUACGUAGGGUGCAAGCGUUAAUCGGAAUUACUGGGCGUAAAGCGUGCGCAGGCGGUUUGCUAAGACCGAUGUGAAAUCCCCGGGCUCAACCUGGGACUGCAUUGGUGACUGGCAGGCUAGAGNAUGGCAGAGGGGGUAGAAUUCCACGUGUGACAGUGAAAUGCGUAGAGAUGUGGAGGAAUACCGAUGGCGAAGGCAGCCCCCUGGGCCAAUACUGACGCUCAUGCACGAAAGCGUGGGGA